GACCCAAUGUGGUGUAGUGGUUUGAACAUUGGACUGUGACUCUGGAGACCAGGGUUUGAAUCCCUGCUUGGCCA
This is a non-coding RNA of Phrynosoma platyrhinos (Desert horned lizard), 74 nucleotides long. The record is from the annotation of a GenBank genome assembly. NCBI's taxonomy places the organism in Eukaryota, Metazoa, Chordata, Lepidosauria, Squamata, Phrynosomatidae.